RNAcentral lists this ribosomal RNA (253 nucleotides) under uncultured bacterium. RNAcentral describes it as "partial 16S ribosomal RNA". It matches the Rfam family "Bacterial small subunit ribosomal RNA", at positions 524 to 776 of the family's 1533-position model. The record is from RNAcentral.
UACGGAGGGUGCAAGCGUUAUCCGGAUUCACUGGGUUUAAAGGGUGCGUAGGCGGGCAGGUAAGUCAGUGGUGAAAUCUCCAAGCUUAACUUGGAAACUGCCGUUGAUACUAUCUGUCUUGAAUACCGUGGAGGUGAGCGGAAUAUGUCAUGUAGCGGUGAAAUGCUUAGAUAUGACAUAGAACACCAAUUGCGAAGGCAGCUCGGUACACGAAUAUUGACGCUGAGGCACGAAAGAGUGGGGAGCAAACAGG